GGAUGUGAGGGUAAUGUGGUUGUGACAUUUAUCACCCUAUUAAUUGCCAGGGUUGAUUCAACUGAUUUGGCUGGCUAAGCAGGUGUCCCCUUCCUUCCUAUCUGCUCAUGUGUGUNCCUUCCAAAGCUCUGUGCUUGGUUGAAGAAGACAACCAUCCCAGACAGGAGUGUACCAUUCUUCGAUCAAGGGUAUCCUAUAGCUGCCCUGCUGUGCUGGAACCUCCAAACAAGCUGAAGAUCCAUUGUAGGAGAUGUAACUCUCAACAAUUUUGCCAUCACAAACCAUAGUGAUAGUUAGCAACUUUGAUUGUCUCACAAG
RNAcentral lists this small nuclear RNA (318 nucleotides) under Salvator merianae (Argentine black and white tegu). Its description in RNAcentral is "7SK RNA (ENSSMRG00000012428.1)". It matches the Rfam family "7SK RNA". From Rfam's summary of the family: 7SK was discovered as an abundant small nuclear RNA in the mid-70s but a possible function has only recently been suggested. Two independent studies have found that 7SK RNA binds the CDK9/cyclin T complex (known as elongation factor P-TEFb). The record is from RNAcentral. Lineage: Eukaryota; Metazoa; Chordata; Lepidosauria; Squamata; Teiidae.